This 259-nucleotide ribosomal RNA is filed under the name uncultured bacterium. RNAcentral describes it as "partial 16S ribosomal RNA". It matches the Rfam family "Bacterial small subunit ribosomal RNA", at positions 526 to 779 of the family's 1533-position model. The record is from RNAcentral.
CGUAGGGUGCGAGCGUUGUCCGGAAUUAUUGGGCGUAAAGGGCUCGUAGGCGGUUUGUUCGCGUCGGGAGUGAAACCAUGAGCUUAACUCAUGGGCUUGCUUUCGAUACGGGCGAGACUAGAGGUAUGCAGGGGGAGAACGGAAUUCCUGGUGUAGCGGUGAAAUAGCGCAGAUAUCAGGAGGAACACCGGUGGCGAAGGCGGUUCUCUGGGCAUUACCUGACGCUGAGGAGCGAAAAGUGUGGGGAGCGAACAGGAUU